CUCUCCAUCUCAGGGAGAAGCUUCUGCCUUUCUUGGCUAUUGGGGGUUGGAGCUUGUUCCCUUACUGUCCCAGUUUAAAGAAUUUUUCCCGUUAUUAUGCUAAGGAAGCCUGCCGGGUUACGCCCAGGUUCUUUUUAGGACCUGAGACAAAGGGGUAGGUGGGGGCUGGCUUCCGGGGUUUUUCACUCUCGUCGGCGGGGUUUGAGGGAGGUCAGGACUGCUUGUCUCCAGCCCACGCAGUCCGAACGCCGCGGAGCGAGGUUCUCCGCGGUGGGACGUUGCCCUGCAUCUCUUCAGCAUCCAGCCUACUGCCUCUAAGACCACAGCUGACCACCAAAAACCCAAACACAGCGCGGACCCUGCCCCGCCUUCCACCACCGGGACCGAGAGCGGGGAGAGUGUGGCUGCGGCUGGAAGAAGGACUGGAACUGAGUUAUUUGUUCUGUUUUGUUUUUAAUUUUCAUAGCUGCUGUUGUUUCUGUUUGUCCAGUUAGAUAUAUUAGUAAAUAGCUGUUUAUCCUACGCCCUUA
Long non-coding RNA from Oenanthe melanoleuca, 530 nucleotides. RefSeq lists it as uncharacterized. NCBI's taxonomy places the organism in Eukaryota, Metazoa, Chordata, Aves, Passeriformes, Muscicapidae. The transcript has 2 exons. The record is from RefSeq and is a predicted model, not a curated record.